GACGAACGCUGGCGGCGUGCCUAAUACAUGCAAGUUGAGCGCUGAAGGUUGGUACUUGUACCAACUGGAUGAGCAGCGAACGGGUGAGUAACGCGUGGGGAAUCUGCCUUUGAGCGGGGGACAACAUUUGGAAACGAAUGCUAAUACCGCAUAAAAACUUUAAACACAAGUUUUAAGUUUGAAAGAUGCAAUUGCAUCACUCAAAGAUGAUCCCGCGUUGUAUUAGCUAGUUGGUGAGGUAAAGGCUCACCAAGGCGAUGAUACAUAGCCGACCUGAGAGGGUGAUCGGCCACAUUGGGACUGAGACACGGCCCAAACUCCUACGGGAGGCAGCAGUAGGGAAUCUUCGGCAAUGGACGAAAGUCUGACCGAGCAACGCCGCGUGAGUGAAGAAGGUUUUCGGAUCGUAAAACUCUGUUGGUAGAGAAGAACGUUGGUGAGAGUGGAAAGCUCAUCAAGUGACGGGAACACCCAGAAAGGGACGGCUAACUACGUG
Molecule: ribosomal RNA, 496 nt
Filed under: uncultured bacterium
Lineage: Bacteria
Description: partial 16S ribosomal RNA
Rfam family: Bacterial small subunit ribosomal RNA
Source: RNAcentral